RNAcentral lists this ribosomal RNA (506 nucleotides) under uncultured bacterium. Its description in RNAcentral is "partial 16S ribosomal RNA". It matches the Rfam family "Bacterial small subunit ribosomal RNA", at positions 355 to 850 of the family's 1533-position model. The record is from RNAcentral.
UGGGGAAUAUUGCACAAUGGGCGCAAGCCUGAUGCAGCCAUGCCGCGUGUGUGAAGAAGGCCUUCGGGUUGUAAAGCACUUUCAGCGAGGAGGAAGGCGUUAAGGUUAAUAACCUUGGCGAUUGACGUUACUCGCAGAAGAAGCACCGGCUAACUCCGUGCCAGCAGCCGCGGUAAUACGGAGGGUGCAAGCGUUAAUCGGAAUUACUGGGCGUAAAGCGCACGCAGGCGGUUUGUUAAGUCAGAUGUGAAAUCCCCGAGCUUAACUUGGGAACUGCAUUUGAAACUGGCAAGCUAGAGUCUUGUAGAGGGGGGUAGAAUUCCAGGUGUAGCGGUGAAAUGCGUAGAGAUCUGGAGGAAUACCGGUGGCGAAGGCGGCCCCCCUGGACAAAGACUGACGCUCAGGUGCGAAAGCGUGGGGCAGCAAACAGGAUUAGAUACCCUGGUAGUCCACGCUGUAAACGAUGUCGACUUUGGAGGUUGUGGGCUUGACCCGUGGCUUCCGGA